Long non-coding RNA from Bombus huntii, 2380 nucleotides. RefSeq lists it as uncharacterized. The transcript has 2 exons. The record is from RefSeq and is a predicted model, not a curated record. Lineage: Eukaryota; Metazoa; Arthropoda; Insecta; Hymenoptera; Apidae.
CCUGUAUAGGUAUCGGGCUUAUCAACUCGAACAUAUCGCAAAAUGCACAACGAUAAAACAUAAUGUAAAUAACAGCAAACGAUUACUUCGAUCAAACUUUCCACGAAAUGCAGGCGAUGUAUCUUUUCGUCCAAUCGGCUGUGAAACGUUUACACGUGUCGAAUACCGUGAAAUCGAGCAAGAAAAAUUAAGAUGACCAACUAGUCCAAAAUUAUAUACGUAUAUGUACUUGGGUCGUUUGUACAGAUAAAUUAGAAUUUCGAGAGAAGACAGAAGAGAAAACGAAUUAAACGGUGUUGAUCGAAUUGGAAAAAUAAUUCAGGGAAUGAGCCGCUUCGAGAAUGGUAACAAUGAAAGACGGAAUAAAUAUUUAUCGUGAUCUCUUUCGCGAACGAUCGUUGCGCUUUCCAACGCACAGCAGAAUGCAUCGAGGGUAACUGGCUUCUUCCACGAGCAAUUAAUUUUCUUAUCGUUGCCAGGCAAGGUUUUCUCGAUACAAUGAGCCGAUUAAAAACCGUCUUCGUGAACCGAUAGUCUAGCUAAACGAUUGUAUAGUCAAUGUGCGCUCCUUCACCAUUGGUCGGAGAUAUCCCUGUUCUUUCUAGUUCCAACAAGUGUUUUAGUUUUGGAAUUGCAUAUUCAAAGAAAAUUCGAUAUCUCUUGCUAUUCUGUUAGUUUUUUAUUAAAACUGAACAGUAUUGUAUACAGUAGGUCAGAUAGCUUUCACUUGGCACGAUGAUGACAGAUUAAGAAUGUCGUAAAACAAUUAGCUUAUACUUUCGACAAAUUGUGGAAAUGCAAUUUUAUAUAACUUCUGCCGAUAAAAAUAUAUUGCAGAGUAAUAUUGAAGAUGGGAUGACUGACACAUAUAUAAUUUCCAAGCGCCAUUCGAUAAAUGUAAAGAGACAAGAUGAAGAAAAACUAUCAAUUUAUAAGCAAAAACUUCCCAUCGACAUAUAAAUCCUCAUUUAAUUCUAAAAAAAGAAAAAGAAUAUUUAUAUUAUAGGUAGCUAGGGAAAUCCUAAAUAUAUAUAACCGAUAAAUUGUCAACUUAAAUAUAUCUUUCACAGUUUCCUAUGUGAUUACUAAGUACAAGAAAGAUUUAAUUGAAAUAGUAGUCAACAACAAAGUAAAAACGAACAAUAAAAAAACAGAUUGUAGCAGACAUUGAUCUAAUGUUAAAGUUACAUAAAUAACCCCUAUACGGUAUGUGUUAUCUAAAUGAUCGGUUACAUUACUGAUCGAUUGUAUCCGAGUUAAACUUGCGAUUGCAAUUAUUAUCUGGACUUUGGUAAUUGCCACAUACCUAAGCAACAUUGGCGUAACGUCGCGUGAAAUCAAGAAAGAUGCAGCCAACGAGAUCACCGCAAUUCUAGAACGACACAGACGUAGCUGGCUUGGACAAGAAAAAUCCAGAAGUUUAUACAAUUACGCAACAAUUCACCAUAUUGAGCUGCAACAUGUGCACAAUCACAAAACAGCCGUGUCGACGUUUGGCGCCGUCGUAAUUGUCCAAAUAGCUGGUCGCGCGCAGAAAGCAUCGUAAAAUAAUAUACAUAUUCCGAAUACAUUCGAAGAAUUCUAAAAUUCCAAACAAAUUACUAAUCAAUCGAUAUUAAAUAAAAUGAAGAGUUUAUGUAUAUUAUAUUUAUAGUUUAUAUACAGACCGGCCGUUUCGAAACGAUAAGAUCAUCAACGGUUCAGAAGAUAAUAAAGGCAAUUAAAACCAGAUUACGAACUAUAUUAACUGAAUUUUUUAGCGAUAAUAAUGAUUCAUAUCUGAUAAUGAUCAAGAAAACUGGUAAGCACGUCAAUCUCGGCGUUAAUGUUAAACAAUCGUUCCUUAAAAGUAUAAAAAUUUCGAAACAUUAAUAGAAAAUUUUCUGAAAUGAUAAUGAAUUUCUUAACGAGUUCAAUGUUCUAUAUGUCCAAUACAUCUACUUCUCAGUGCAUUAAUCAUAAGAAAAUAGUUCAGCAGACGCGAGAACGCAGUAUGACGAAUGUAAAAUGCAUCCAACAAUAACGUCAUCGCGACAAUGAUUCCGGAACGGCGCGGAACUCGGAGUUCAUUAUAAAAGAUGUAUUUACGUCACACCCGAUCUGUGACUCAUUUCCUCUUUCCCAGUAAUUGAUUCACAGUUCCACCUACAAUAAUUGACAUUCGAAUUUUCUAUUGCAGGCUCAAACAGAUCGAUGAAUCGACAGGUGCACAAUUUACAACGAAAUUUAAAAAAGAAGAGAAUAUUUUUCCAACAAAAUAUUUUUCUUUUUAUCAAGUUUUAUAUUUUAUUUUCAGUGUAUUAAUGAUAUGAAAUUCAAUGAACUUUAACCUAAACGAUCGUUAUGUAAAUGCUAUAAUAAAUAUAAUGGUAUGCAAAUA